CUAAGCUUAGCCCUUCUCGCUGAAAGUACAAGAUGUAGAUAAACCCGCAGAUUUAUAACCUAACAGCUUUAGUUAAGAUAUUCCAGUUCUUGACAAAUAUUUGCAUAAAGCAAAAUAUAUAAGUAACUAAAAAGUUGAUAAUCACAUGCAGAGCGAAGGUUCCUCUCAUCCUCCUCCUCAAGGCUUCAGUGAGUGAUGCCAAUUUCCAAUAGGGUUUGGCCCGGAAGGCACCUUAUGAACCGUAACUUUAGCCAACCUCCUUGAUUUAAUCUUUUCGCAUAAACAACAAUUAAAAUUUGUGUUAGUAGAGAAUCGCGCGCAUAGAAGAUAUCAGGCGGUAGCAUAUUAAAUUAAAUUACCUUGUUUACCCAAGUAGCUAAUAUGUACCGGCUGGCUGAGCUCAUUCUUGAUUUUCCAGUUUCAAGCUUAAAAUCAACUGCAUGAACAACGAUCACAACUAGAAGUAAUGCUAAUAAUAAUUAUUAUUUUUUAACAAACUCAUCAGUUGCAAAGGCUGGAAGUACAAGUACUCGCCUGAUUCUGCAGCUUGAAUUAUGAUGGCCGCGGCGAAACUGCAAUAAGAAACCAUAAGGAAUGCCAAGAAGAGACUAACGUAUGCUUUAUUCUUCAUCGUGAC
This 637-nucleotide long non-coding RNA is filed under the name Citrus x clementina. RNAcentral describes it as "Citrus clementina (C. clementina) long non-coding RNA (CCLE_LNC003274)". The record is from RNAcentral. Lineage: Eukaryota; Viridiplantae; Streptophyta; Magnoliopsida; Sapindales; Rutaceae.